ACGGGGUGCAGCAGGCGCGAAACCUCCGCAAUACACGAAAGUGUGACGGGGUUACCCAAAGUGCUCUUUCAAGAGCUGUGAUAGGUGAGUAAUGUUCCCUAUUAGAAAGGAGAGGGCAAGGCUGGUGCCAGCCGCCGCGGUAAAACCAGCUCUUCAAGUGGUCGGGAUAAUUAUUGGGCUUAAAGUGUCCGUAGCCGGUUUAGUAAGUUCCUGGUAAAAUCGGGUAGCUUAACUAUCCGUAUGCUAGGAAUACUGCUAUACUAGAGGGCGGGAGAAGUCUGAGGUACUACAGGGGUAGGGGUGAAAUCUUAUAAUCCUUGUAGGACCACCAGUGGCGAAGGCGUCAGACUGGAACGCGCCUGACGGUGAGGGACGAAAGCCAGGGGAGCGAACCGGAUUAGAUACCCGGGUAGUCCUGGCUGUAAACGAUGCAUACUAGGUGAUGGCACGGCCAUGAGCCGUGUCAGUGCCGUAGGGAAACCGUCAAGUGUGUCGCCUGGGAAGUACGGUCGCAAGGCUAAAACUUAAAGGAAUUGGCGGGGGAGCAC
This 548-nucleotide ribosomal RNA is filed under the name uncultured archaeon. RNAcentral describes it as "bacterial SSU rRNA". It matches the Rfam family "Archaeal small subunit ribosomal RNA", at positions 325 to 879 of the family's 1478-position model. The record is from RNAcentral.